CCCACCCCCUUCUCCCGAUCCCCGUCUCACUCCUUUCCCCUUCCUCCCUCGAUCUGUCGGUGUUUCAUUUGCCUUGUUUUCCCCUUCCACGUCCCCACCUCCUUCCCGGACAUGGCUAGCGAGAGCAGUCCGACGCCCGAGUCUCCGCCGCUGCCGCCGACCGUUGAGCAGGACCAGAGCUGUGGCCUGUGCGGUAAAAUGGAGAAGCUACUGCUUUGCGGGGGUUGUAAGAGGUCGUUUUACUGCAGUAAAGAGCACCAGAAAAUGGACUGGAAAAAGCACAAGCAGAUCUGCAAGGAGGCGGCGAGGCGACAGGGCCGAGCAGAGGGCGAGGACACGCGGAGCGCUUCGGCCAACAGCAACCACUACCCGCUGCCGCCUCCGAAGCCCCUGCCACCGGCCUCCGUCAACGGGCAGCCAGCGGAGAAAAGCGAGGAGGCGGCGACGACGACGGCCAAUCUCCUAUCCGGAGCCGGCAUCGACAGCCGGAGUCACUGGGGGCCGCAUGGACGAAGCGGCGGCAGCUUCCAGAAACUGGUGCAGGAGUACAUCGUGCCGUGCAUGAACAAGCACGGCAUCUGCUUGGUGGACAAUUUCCUGGGAGAGGAGAUGGGGGACAGUGUGUUGAGGGAGGUGAAGGAACUGCACCAGAGUGGCCGCUUCACCGACGGCCAGGUGGUUAACCAGAAAGGGGACUCGUCCAGGGACAUCCGGGGUGAUCAGAUCACCUGGGUGGACGGGAAGGAGUCCGGCUGCACACAAAUCGGGCUCUUGAUGAACAGCAUGGACGAUCUGAUCAGGCAUUGCAACGGCAAACUGGGCAACUAUAAUAUUAACGGCAGGACGAAAGCAAUGGUGGCAUGUUACCCAGGCAAUGGAACAGGAUAUGUUCGCCAUGUUGAUAACCCUAAUGGAGAUGGACGAUGUGUCACAUGUAUAUAUUAUCUGAAUAAAAACUGGGACGCACAGGCUCUGGCCAGUGGAGAUGAUCGUCUGCGAGGACGAAGGACCCUGAAACCUCUGUUGAACUUAUUAAUGGAUGAAACAUUAACCGUCUCAAGAAUCCAGUUGAAAUGCAACUGUAAUUACCUUUCAGAUGACAUCAACUGUGAAAGCUGCCAAUCCUGUCACUCUGCUUUUCCAGCCUGAUAGCUACCAAAGAAAAUGAGCAGUGCAGCUUGUAUCCAGGCAGGGGGAGAGAGUGCGUUUGCCAGGUGCUGUAAAGCAGCUGUUGGACUAAAGGUCUGCCAAGAGCUUUGAAGCAGUGGAAACCACAGCAAAGGGCUAUCGGAAAAGUUUAAAAGUCCCUACGCGUAAAUGCAGUGAAGCCCAAGCUUGAGCUGAGAAGUUCACAGUCAUGAUGUUUUUGAAGAAAAAUUGGAGGGUCGCUUACCAAAAGCAAAUUGGAGGAUCUCCAUGAAACUUCGAACCUCGGAGAGUAGCAGGAGCACUGAGGAGAAGUCAAAAUUAAUUCCACAGAGCUGUGGCGUACUUGGUUUGAUUCCAGAAAGAAAAGUGAAUGGAGGUCUUCUUCGAAUUUUUCCAGAAGGCAAAUUACAGUUCGCUGAUAUUGAACCAAAGUUUGACAGGCUGCUAUUUUUUUGGUCUGAUCGACGCAAUCCUCAUGAAGUACAACCUGCUUAUGCCAC
This is an RNA transcript of Carcharodon carcharias (great white shark), 1649 nucleotides long. It is a transcript of the gene named egl-9 family hypoxia-inducible factor 1a, with no coding region annotated. The transcript has 6 exons. The record is from RefSeq and is a predicted model, not a curated record. NCBI's taxonomy places the organism in Eukaryota, Metazoa, Chordata, Chondrichthyes, Lamniformes, Lamnidae.